AUUGAACGCUGGCGGAAGGCCUAACACAUGCAAGUCGAGCGAGCGGCGGACGGGUGAGCAAUGUCUGUGAAACUGCCUGAUGGAGGGGGAUAACUACUGGAAACGGUAGCUAAUACCGCAUACCCUCGGAUGUGCCCAGAUGGGAUUAGCUAGUAGGUGGGGUAAAGGCUCACCUAGGCGACGAUCCCUAGCUGGUCUGAGAGGAUGACCAGCCACACUGGAACUGAGACACGGUCCAUACUCCGACGGGAGGCAGCAGUGGGGAAUAUUGCACAAUGGGCGCAAGCCUGAUGCAGCCAUGCCGCGUGUAGGAAGAAGGCCUUCGGGUUGUAAAGCACUUUCAGCGAGGAGGCGUUACUCGCAGAAGAAGCACCGGCUAACUCCGUGCCAGCAGCCGCGGUAAUAC
RNAcentral lists this ribosomal RNA (406 nucleotides) under uncultured bacterium. RNAcentral's name for it is "partial 16S ribosomal RNA". It matches the Rfam family "Bacterial small subunit ribosomal RNA", at positions 30 to 526 of the family's 1533-position model. The record is from RNAcentral.